UUUGAUGGAGAGUUUGAUCCUGGCUCAGGACGAACGCUUGCGACGUGCCUAAGAAAUGCAAGUCGAGCGGAAGC
Molecule: ribosomal RNA, 74 nt
Filed under: Chthonomonadaceae bacterium
Lineage: Bacteria; Bacillati; Armatimonadota; Chthonomonadia; Chthonomonadales; Chthonomonadaceae
Description: partial 16S ribosomal RNA
Rfam family: Bacterial small subunit ribosomal RNA
Source: RNAcentral